GAUUCCUUGAAUUCAAUGUUUAUGAUAUCCUGAUCUUGAUUAACGGUAUGAUGACCAUAACAAGUUGUAUCUUCGGUGAAAAUUUUAAUGUUUUUCUGUUAUAUAAAGAAAAAAUAAGAAUAUCAUCUAUGUAAUGUAUACAAAAUUGAUCAAAUUUGUCUAGUAUACUAUUCAGAGCUUUAACUAAACUAGAACAAGCUGAUUGGAGUCCAAAUGGUACAACCAAGAAUUGAUAAACUUGUCCAUCUAUCAUGAAUCCGGUAUAUUGUUGUGAUUCCUUAUGAAGA
This is a long non-coding RNA of Coccinella septempunctata (seven-spotted ladybird), 287 nucleotides long. RefSeq lists it as uncharacterized. Lineage: Eukaryota; Metazoa; Arthropoda; Insecta; Coleoptera; Coccinellidae. The transcript is spliced from 2 exons. The record is from RefSeq and is a predicted model, not a curated record.